This 253-nucleotide ribosomal RNA is filed under the name uncultured bacterium. RNAcentral describes it as "partial 16S ribosomal RNA". It matches the Rfam family "Bacterial small subunit ribosomal RNA", at positions 524 to 776 of the family's 1533-position model. The record is from RNAcentral.
GACGAGGGGUCCUAGCGUUGUUCGGAAUCAUUGGGCGUAAAGCGUGUGUAGGUGGCUAUUCAAGUCAGUUGUGAAAUCCCCGGGCUCAACCCGGGAAGUGCUUCUGAUACUGUUUAGCUUGAGUACUGGAGAGGAUAGUAGAAUUCCUGGUGUAGUGGUGAAAUACGUAGAUAUCAGCAGGAAUACCGGUGGCGAAGGCGGCUAUCUGGGCAUGUACUGACGCUGAGACACGAAAGCGUGGGGAGCAAACAGG